GACUAACGCUGGCGGCGUGCCAAACACAUGCAAGUCGAACGAAGCAGCAAUGCUUAGUGGCAGACGGGUGAGUAACGCGUAGAUAAUGUGCCCUCUCGCGGGGGAUACCGUUUCGAAAGGAACGUUAAUACCGCAUAAAGUCCUUAGGAGGCAUCUCUUAGGGACCAAAACUUCCGGGGCGGGAGGAGCAAUCUGCGUACUAUCAGCUAGUUGGUGAGGUAAUGGCUCACCAAGGCUACGACGGUUAACUGGUCUGAGAGGAUGAUCAGUCACACUGGAACUGAGACACGGUCCAGACUCCUACGGGAGGCAGCAGUGAGGAAUAUUGCACAAUGGGCGAAAGCCUGAUGCAGCGACGCCGCGUGGAGGAUGAAGGAUUUCGGUCUGUAAACUCCUGUCAGUAGGGAAGAGAAUGGACGGUACCUACUGAGGAAGCUUCGGCUAACUACGUGCCAGCAGCCGCGGUAAU
This 469-nucleotide ribosomal RNA is filed under the name uncultured bacterium. RNAcentral's name for it is "bacterial SSU rRNA". It matches the Rfam family "Bacterial small subunit ribosomal RNA", at positions 28 to 524 of the family's 1533-position model. The record is from RNAcentral.